AAGUCGUAACAAGGUUUCCGUAGGUGAACCUGCGGAAGGAUCAUUACACGUACCUGUAGGCUUUUCAGCUCUACAUGUAUACAACACCAAACUGUGCUCUUUUCUCCUCACCCCACACACUUAACCUCAUUUUUUACUCGACUGACCAGUUUUUGUCUGUUUAAGCCUUGUAUAAGCCUAUACGGCUGUACUUGUGCCUGCCUUACAAAAUCUGUAGCCCAUACUUUGCUAUGUGGCUACUUUAUGAACCAAUAGGAUACAACUCCUAACAAUGGAUAUCUAGGCUCUC
This 289-nucleotide unclassified non-coding RNA is filed under the name fungal sp. Its description in RNAcentral is "partial internal transcribed spacer region". The stretch from base 1 to 46 matches the Rfam family "Eukaryotic small subunit ribosomal RNA", at positions 1786 to 1831 of the family's 1831-position model. Lineage: Eukaryota; Fungi. The record is from RNAcentral. RNAcentral also lists the same sequence under 1 other name.